AAUGUUACCCAUGUGGUCGACCAAAAAAAGUCAGUUGAUGUUAUCUUGUUGGAUUUCUGUAAAGCUUUUGACACUGCUUCUCACAUUUUGCUGGAUAAAAUGCUCAGUGUACAUCCUGAGAAAAACAUAACAUGAUGGAUCCAAAUUCCUUGUUAUAUAUCGAUCCACUAUACAGUAUUUAUUAACUUCUGCAUCCACCGCAAUGUGUCAGCAGAAAUAUCUUUGUCACUAGAGGGCAGUGAUCAUCUUCUAGAAAGCCAAGAGAGUUCAUCAUGGAAAUCAAAUUCUGACAGUAGUCACAGAGGACAUGAUUCUGGAUCAGUGGACUGUGUCUCAGCUGUACUAAUUUUCAAUAGAAGUAAUUAGCAGCUUUCUGAGUUUUUAUCUAGGGAUCAAAUUAUGACUGGCUGCUUUGAAGGCAGAAUAUGCAGACUUGUUGGUGUGGACUGACCAAUGAUGCUAAGAAACAACAUUUGGAUGUUACUAAUGCACUUGAGCCAAGAAGAGACCCACCUAUAUUUUCAGUGAAAGAAGUUUCAAAGUACACUGAUGAAACAGGAGAACUAAGUGUGGCUACAACGCUACUGAAAGCCCAGUCCCAUUUUACGUCUCUUGCAUUACGGGCAAAGGUGUAUGUUCCCCACUAAAUGCCUUUUGCUGACCAUGACUGCAAAUAAGUUUGUGGGUAAGGCAGAGAAGCAAUGAAGUUCAUCUUUGGAACAUUCAGCCCCUUCCUGGUAUCCCAGUUCAGGACAGAAGAUCAUUGCAUCCCUGACUACAGAAAUGAUGGUGAGGUGAACAAACAAAUCUCAGUAACUAAACAACAACCAGACUUUUCUCCUACCAAAGUUUCACACCGACCAUGGACAACUUGCAAGGCUUGACCAAUGAAAAGAUCCUGCACAAUUAGCAAGGGUGCACUUGGCCUUCUUACUUCUUUUUAAGUUAAGCUCCCUUAGCUUACCUGUGACAAAACAAUCCUUGGUUUCUCAUGCAAUUUGAAUGCAUAAUUAAGAAUGAAAAAGGAGGUUUUACUGGAAAUCUGUCCUUAAUCACUCCCUUGUUUUGUGCUACUGACAGUUUUGGACAUUAUAAACAUUUUUCAAGGUGUAAAAUAGUUUCUAUGUCAUAUUCUGUACCAGAUUGCUCAAAUUCCAUUGCACGCACAACAGAGGUCUCAACAAGAUAAACAGUUAUACAUACUAUAAGGACAGGAGGCAGCAGAUACAGUUGCCUUAAACCAGUUUCAGAUCACCAAAGAAAGGUAACAUUUACAGUCUGGUAAUAAAGAAGGAAUUGCUUACCUCUUCCCAAAGAUCAGAGUUCACCAAACACUCCAAAGGAGGCAGUCUCCAAAUAGAGAAACACCCCUUGUGGUUACCAAGCCCUUAAAUGCAGUUAGGGAGCAGUGGAGUCAGGGUCCACCCCUUCUGGUUACACAGGUGAAUUGCUUCCAUCUGUACUCCCAAAACUGACCACACCUCUUCACUGGUUGCUCAAUUACUGGUUCACACCAUAAUCUAACAGUUCCCAUAUACAUACCUAUACAACAGAGACCAAAAUUAAGCCUGUGUCAGAUCAGAAUGAAACUUGGAUAAUCGGGAAAUCACCUUUAAACUCUCAUUAAGAUACCCAUUCUGAAAAUCUAACAUAUACAUCACUUUCUUUUAUACCUGUAAUAAACAAAAUUUAAAAUCUGCAGAUCUUGAUAACUAAGAACAAAACCUAUUUGAAAUCAAAUAAGGUUGUAAUGAAAAGAGAAAAUUAGCUUAACAUACGUGGACACACACGAAUAUAAAAGGAAAUAAAUAAAUAAAAAAGGAC
Gallus gallus (chicken) is the source of this 1824-nucleotide long non-coding RNA. Lineage: Eukaryota; Metazoa; Chordata; Aves; Galliformes; Phasianidae. The record is from Ensembl.